CAAGUCGAACGGCAGCACGGACUUCGGUCUGGUGGCGAGUGGCGAACGGGUGAGUAAUGUAUCGGAACGUAUCCAAUAAUGGGGAUAACUAGUCGAAAGAUUAGCUAAUACCGCAUACGCCCUACGGGGGAAAGCUAGGGACCUUCGGGCCUGGCGUUAAUGGAGCGGCCGAUAUCUGAUUAGCUAGUUGGUGAGGUAAAAGCUCACCAAGGCGACGAUCAGUAGCUGGUCUGAGAGGACGACCAGCCACACUGGAACUGAGACACGGUCCAGACUCCUACGGGAGGCAGCAGUGGGGAAUUUUGGACAAUGGGCGAAAGCCUGAUCCAGCCAUUCCGCGUGAGUGAAGAAGGCUUUCGGGUUGUAAAGCUCUUUCGCAAGAGAAGAAAACUUAGUCUCUAACAUAGACUGAGGUUGACGGUAUCUUGAUAAGAAGCACCGGCUAACUACGUGCCAGCAGCCGCGGUAAUACGUAGGGUGCGAGCGUUAAUCGGAAUUACUGGGCGUAAAGCGUGCGCAGGCUGUUUUGUAAGUCAGAUGUGAAAUCCCUGAGCUCAACUUAGGAACUGCGUUUGAAACUACAAGACUAGAAUAUGUCAGAGGGGGGUAGAAUUCCACGUGUAGCAGUGAAAUGCGUAGAGAUGUGGAGGAAUACCAAUGGCGAAGGCAGCCCCCUGGGAUAAUAUUGACGCUCAUGCACGAAAGCGUGGGGAGCAAACAGGAUUAGAUACCCUGGUAGUCCACGCCCUAAACGAUGUCUACUAGUUGUUGGUGGAGUAAAAUCCAUGAGUAACGCAGCUAACGCGUGAAGUAGACCGCCUGGGGAGUACGGUCGCAAGAUUAAAACUCAAGGAAUUGACGG
RNAcentral lists this ribosomal RNA (862 nucleotides) under uncultured bacterium. Its description in RNAcentral is "bacterial SSU rRNA". It matches the Rfam family "Bacterial small subunit ribosomal RNA", at positions 58 to 916 of the family's 1533-position model. The record is from RNAcentral.